UAUAGUAGAGACUUUUCCUGCAUCUCCAACAGGAAACAAUGAUGAUUUUAUGCCCCAGCACAAGGAAGGGUCUGCAGUAGCUCACUCAAUGAAACAGCUUUAUAAACCAAUGACUGCUAUACCACUAUACUGGAGUCCUGAAGAUGGUGCAGUAAAUAACACUAAAACUGCUGUUGAUUUUCAGGAUACUGGAGGAAAGUUCCUAACUGCCUGAGGCCAAAUUCAGAAUGCCACCAGGUUCCAGAUGCUACCAUGAUGCCAACCAGACUUCCCUGGGCAGAUGACCCCACUAAUGUGUCCUGGAGCCCCGCUUCCCCAGAGCCCCACCCUACUAGGGAAAGAGAGAGACAGGCUGGGAGUAUGGAUCGACCUGCCAAUGAUCAUGUUCAGCGGGGAAGCAAUUACAGAAGCCAGACCUUCCACCUUCUGUACCCCAUAAUGACCCUGGGGCCAUACUCCCAGAGGGAGAAAGAAUAGGAAAGCGAUCAGGGGAGGAGAUGGGAUACGGAGUUCUGGUGGUGGGAAUUGUGUGGAGUUGUACCCCUCUUAUCCUAUGGUUUUUGUCAGUAUUUCCUUUUUAUAAAUAAAAAAUAAAACAAAAUACAUAAACAUUUCAAAAAGUUGAGGUCUGAUCUAAAUGUUAUCUAAGAUUGAAUGUCAAUUUUGUGACAGUUUUAUGCAAAACUGGAUCAACAGAUAGUUUAAGGGGUGGUUGUCAUCUCUGUGGAAGAGAAAAUUCUCCUGACACACAAAGCCUGUGUUAUUUGGAAAUGACCAAUUCUGACUGGAAACUUUUCUUCAAAGUUCUCUGGGUUUUUCACUCCUAUUUCUUGUACUAAGUGAAAGUAUCAAAAGUGGCAAUGAUCUGAAACAAGGCUUUGUGAUGAGAUUAAAUAAAUUAGAAAUAAAAACUGAUCUCAAACCAUUUAAAUCUAAAGUAACAAAUAAAUUUUGAAAUAUCACAGAAAUCAUUAUAAUAUAAAUUAAGUUGUAGGAACCUAUGUCAAGUGGAUUGAAGUAAUUAUUUUACCUAUAAAUACAAUACUUGGCCUAUAAAGUCAGUCUUUACCUGGCUCACUUAAUAAUGGCCUUUUUUGGUCAAUAUCAUACCAUCCCAUUAUUUGGGACCCUAGUUAGGGAAUCCUUGCAUUCCCACACAAGUAUGAUAGGUCUAGAUCUCUAAUGGAUCCGCUCUCCAUCAUCACUGGUCACUUCCAUCAGGAACAUCAGCAUAAGCCUUCCUGAGGGCCUUCUCAGGAUCUUGGCCUCACCAUAAAGCAGCAGUGGUAAGGACUACCUCAUUCUCCGAAGGGAGGCUGGGUCAUCCUGCCCUGCUACUGGAGGAAGACAGGUCCAGAAAUGAAUGCAACCUAGGCUGUUCCCGGCUGUUACCAUGAACUGCAAGCUAAGACUGACAAAAGACUCAGAGGUUACACAGGCAACUAUGCUAACUAUAAAUAUAUGUGGGCUCGGGGCCAGGUGGAUGGGGUAAACAGCUACUUUAAUUCAUAGAUUUUUUUUUUCAUGAUUGGGAGCUACUCUCUGUCCUAAUUCACCUUUCUAUCCUUUUUCACUCCCCUGACACCAUCUUUCUCAGACAAUAUAUCCAAAUCCAUGUUAGCUAUCAAACUCACGCAAGAACUAUGAUAGUUUUAGGCCCCUAGGAACAUAAAAUGGACUAGCUUACUUCCACCCCUAUUCUCAUCUGCUCUAUUUCUACUUUUUGGUUCCUGUUUAUUAAUCAUUUUGUCCCCCUUUAUGUCGUGCCACCUUUCAGUCACUUUUAAUGCGUUUCAAGUUGCAGAUGCUAUGAUUUCAUCCAGAAUUCCCCAUACAAAUAACCUCACCAAUGUGCUCUGGAACCUCAUCUCUCCAGAUCUCUAUCCCACUAGGGAAAGAUAGAAACAGGCUGGGAGUAUGUAUCGACCUGUUAAUGCCCAUAAUCCAACAGAGAAGAGAUUACAUAAGCCAGAACUCCCACCUUCUGCACUCCAAAAAUAAUUCUGAUCUACACGCCCAGCAGGGCAGAAAUGAUAGGGGGAAGAUGAGCAGAGGGCUCCAACACCAUCAUGAUCUGGAGAGAGAAGAGGGAAAAGGGAGGGACAUUUGGAUGCAGAAAUGGUGUAUGUGUGACUAGGAAAGGAAGAGAAUACGGGGUCCUUAAAAAAAGGCAAAUAUAUACAAAAUAGACAGUUGCAGAAAUAACAUAUCUACAACCCAUAUCAACCCAUAUCUACAACCUAAGGCAAACUGAACAGCUACAGCUUACAAUGGAGGGACUGGGUAUUCAGGACUCUGGUGGUGAGAACAGUGUGGAGUUGUACCCCUGUAUUGUUGUAAUUUUGUAAAUCACUGUUAAAUCACUAAUAAAUAUUAUUUUUACAAGUCA
Molecule: long non-coding RNA, 2389 nt
Organism: Erinaceus europaeus (western European hedgehog)
Lineage: Eukaryota; Metazoa; Chordata; Mammalia; Eulipotyphla; Erinaceidae
Exons: 3
Source: RefSeq, a predicted model, not a curated record